GAGAUUUUAAGUUAUAUAAACUAAUGGCCUUCAAAGCAUAAAAAUAAGUAAAUUCUUUUAAAUCUUA
Molecule: transfer RNA, 67 nt
Filed under: Pagurus maculosus
Lineage: Eukaryota; Metazoa; Arthropoda; Malacostraca; Decapoda; Paguridae
Description: tRNA-Trp
Source: RNAcentral